This 627-nucleotide ribosomal RNA is filed under the name Triticum aestivum (bread wheat). RNAcentral's name for it is "partial small subunit ribosomal RNA". The record is from RNAcentral. Lineage: Eukaryota; Viridiplantae; Streptophyta; Magnoliopsida; Poales; Poaceae.
AUGAAGGAUUCGGCGGACAAACGUCGCUCAGACCGCACGUUCGCGGUGGACGAUUGGGUUUUCCUCAAGCUCCAACCAUAUGUCCAGCGUUCGGUGGCGACACGGAGCAACCAUAAGCUAUCCUUCCGGUACUUCGGGCCGUACAAGGUGUUGCAGCGCAUUGGUGCGGUGGCAUACAAGCUCCAGCUUCCGCCUACCAGCACCGUGCAUCCGGUCUUCCACGUCUCGCAGCUGCGUCAAGCCCUUCCACCAACGGAGCAAGUCCACCAGCAACUUCCAGCAGCAGCUGCGACAAGCCCCGUCCCCGAAGAGGUUCUGGACAGGCGAAUGGUGCAGCGCGGCAACUCAGGAGUCCCGCGGGUCCUGGUUCGCUGGACGGACCAGCCCGUGGAGUUUGCAACCUGGGAGGACCGCAUCGAGCUACAACAACAUUUCUCCAAUGCUCCAGCUUGGGAACAAGCUGUGUCUGAAGGAGGGAGGGAUGUUACGGUCCCUGGCCCUCAGGCCCCAUCAGCAGAAGACCAGGGCGACACUGCCACGACCCCGGUGACUGGGCUGGAACGACCACGUCGCCAGGCCCAGCCCAACAAGCGCUACACAGGCCCCAAAUGGAACACCGGCAAAUAG